This 649-nucleotide ribosomal RNA is filed under the name uncultured Bacteroidota bacterium. Its description in RNAcentral is "bacterial SSU rRNA". It matches the Rfam family "Bacterial small subunit ribosomal RNA", at positions 62 to 708 of the family's 1533-position model. The record is from RNAcentral. Lineage: Bacteria; Pseudomonadati; Bacteroidota.
UCGAGGGAGAUUGUUGGAUUCGUCUGACAUGAAACCGGCGCACGGGCUGCGUAACACGUAUGCAACCUACCUUUAACUGGGGUAUAGCUCAGAGAAAUCUGAAUUAAUCCCCCAUAAGACUACGACAUGGCAUCAUGAUGUAGUUAAAGCUCCGGCGGUUAAGGAUGGGCAUGCGGUACAUUAGCUAGUUGGUGAGGUAAUGGCUCACCAAGGCUACGAUGUAUAGGGGGUCUGAGAGGAUGAUCCCCCACACUGGUACUGAGACACGGACCAGACUCCUACGGGAGGCAGCAGUAGGGAAUAUUGGUCAAUGGACGCAAGUCUGAACCAGCCAUGCCGCGUGAAGGAUGAAGGCCCUCUGGGUCGUAAACUUCUUUUAUUAGGGAAGAAAACAUGGGAUGCGUCCCAAACUACGGUACUUAAUGAAUAAGGAUCGGCUAACUUCGUGCCAGCAGCCGCGGUAAGACGAAGGAUCCAAGCGUUGUCCGGAUUUACUGGGUUUAAAGGGUGCGUAGGCGGAAAAUUAAGUCAGUGGUGAAAGCCCGCAGCUCAACUGUGGAACUGCCAUUGAAACUGAUUUUCUUGAAUAUAGCUGAGGCAGAUGGAAUAUAACAUGUAGCGGUGAAAUGCUUAGAUAUGUUAUAGAACA